RNAcentral lists this ribosomal RNA (497 nucleotides) under uncultured bacterium. RNAcentral describes it as "partial 16S ribosomal RNA". It matches the Rfam family "Bacterial small subunit ribosomal RNA", at positions 28 to 507 of the family's 1533-position model. The record is from RNAcentral.
GAUGAACGCUGGCGGCGUGCCUAAUACAUGCAAGUCGAGCGAACAGACGAGGAGCUUGCUCCUCUGACGUUAGCGGCGGACGGGUGAGUAACACGUGGAUAACCUACCUAUAAGACUGGGAUAACUUCGGGAAACCGGAGCUAAUACCGGAUAAUAUAUUGAACCGCAUGGUUCAAUAGUGAAAGACGGUUUUGCUGUCACUUAUAGAUGGAUCCGCGCCGCAUUAGCUAGUUGGUAAGGUAACGGCUUACCAAGGCAACGAGGCGUAGCCGACCGGAGAGGGUGAUCGGCCACACUGGAACUGAGACACCGUCCAUACGCCUACGGGAGGCAGCAGUAGGGAAUCUUACGCAAUGGGCGAAAGCCUGACGGAGCAGCGCCGCGUGAGUGAUGAAGGUCUUCGGAUCGUAAAACUCUGUUAUUAGGGAAGAACAAAUGUGUAAGUAACUAUGCACGUCUUGACGGUACCUAAUCAGAAAGCCACGGCUAACUACGUG